Molecule: ribosomal RNA, 452 nt
Filed under: uncultured bacterium
Lineage: Bacteria
Description: bacterial SSU rRNA
Rfam family: Bacterial small subunit ribosomal RNA
Source: RNAcentral
AGAGUUUGAUCAUGGCUCAGAAUGAACGCUGGCGGCAGGCCUAACACAUGCAAGUCGAACGGGUCCUUCGGGACUAGUGGCGGACGGGUGAGUAACGCGUGGGAACAUACCCUUUGGUACGGAAUAGCCUCGGGAAACUGGGAGUAAUACCGUAUGUGGUCGAGAGACGAAAGAUUUAUCGCCAAAGGAUUGGCCCGCGUUGGAUUAGGUAGUUGGUGGGGUAAUGGCCUACCAAGCCGACGAUCCAUAGCUGGUUUGAGAGGAUGAUCAGCCACACUGGGACUGAGACACGGCCCAGACUCCUACGGGAGGCAGCAGUGGGGAAUCUUAGACAAUGGGGAAACCCUGAUCUAGCCAUGCCGCGUGAUCGAUGAAGGCCUUAGGGUUGUAAAGAUCUUUCAGGUGGGAAGAUAAUGACUGUACCACCAGAAGAAGCCCCGGCUAACUCCGUG